RNAcentral lists this ribosomal RNA (300 nucleotides) under uncultured beta proteobacterium. RNAcentral's name for it is "partial 16S ribosomal RNA". It matches the Rfam family "Bacterial small subunit ribosomal RNA", at positions 1033 to 1340 of the family's 1533-position model. Lineage: Bacteria; Pseudomonadati; Pseudomonadota; Betaproteobacteria. The record is from RNAcentral.
CACGUGUGCUGCGUGGCUGUCCUCCUCUCGUGUCAUGGGAUUUUGGUUUAUCUCCCACAACGAGCACCCCUCUUGUUUUUUUUUCCUCUUCAAAAUCACUCCCCGGAAACUGCCGGUGACGAUCCGGAGGAGGGUGGGGAUGAUGUCAUCUCCUCAUGGCCCUCCUUAUGCGGGGUUCGACACUCAUGCUUGGUGGGAACAGAGGGUGGUCAACCAUCCCAGGGGGAUGAAUCCCCCAAAAAACCCCUCCUUCCGGAUUGCACUCUGCAACUCCUCUGCUGGAUGCUGGAAUCGCUACUA